RNAcentral lists this ribosomal RNA (531 nucleotides) under uncultured bacterium. RNAcentral's name for it is "bacterial SSU rRNA". It matches the Rfam family "Bacterial small subunit ribosomal RNA", at positions 777 to 1320 of the family's 1533-position model. The record is from RNAcentral.
AAUAGAUACCCCGGUAGUCCUAGCCGUAAACGAUGAACACUAGGCGUAGUCGGUAUCGACCCCGGCUGUGCCGUAGCUAACGCAUUAAGUGUUCCGCCUGGGGAGUACGGCCGCAAGGCUAAAACUCAAAGGAAUUGACGAGGGCCCGCACAAGCAGCGGAGCGUGUGGUUUAAUUCGUCGCAACGCGAAGAACCUUACCAGGGCUUGACAUGUGGCGGAAAACGGCGGAAACGUCGUCCUCCCGCAAGGGACCGUCAUGCAGGUGUUGCAUGGCUGUCGUCAGCUCGUGUCGUGAGAUGUUGGGUUAAGUCCCGCAACGAGCGCAACCCCCGUGGCAUGUUGUAUCUCUCAUGCCAGACUGCCGAGAGAAACUCGGAGGAAGGUGGGGAUGACGCCAAGUCAGCAUGGCCCUUACGUCCUGGGCUACACACACGCUACAAUGGCCGGUACAACGGGUUGCCAAACCGCGAGGUGGAGCUAAUCCCUUAAAGCCGGUCUCAGUCCGGAUUGCAGGCUGCAACUCGCCUGCA